CCCUUGGAGCGUUACAUCAAACGAAAGUAGUCAAGCUAUUUAAUUGGCGACAAAAUCGGACGCAAUGAGUAGGGAA
RNAcentral lists this non-coding RNA (76 nucleotides) under unclassified sequences. RNAcentral describes it as "RAGATH-18 RNA". It matches the Rfam family "RAGATH-18 RNA". Rfam says of the family: Actinobacteria, Firmicutes, Fusobacteria, Thermotogae (1 example). The record is from Rfam by way of RNAcentral.